UUUUAAUUUAUGGGUUAUUGUUGAAGGUUGUACGAUGACGUAUGGUUGUUAACACAUACUUCUUUUGGUUUCUUAUGGAAAUUUGUCCAUUGACAACAAACAUACCACAUCAUCUACUUUAUAUAAGUAUUGUAUAAAUUACGACGUAUUUUGGUGGUCUUGCAAAAUGGUCGUAAUCCCGAAAAUCGUAAACAUAUUUUCUUAUCUUAAAAAGGGGCAAGAAGGGUUCCAUUAACAGGCCAAUAAAUAAGAUAACAGUUAAUUUGUAAAAAAAAUUUUUAAAAAUGGGGUAUUUUUUCUCUCAUAAUAACAGUAAACAGAUUCACAACAAUGUCAAUUUCAAGAAAGCAGACAACAGCUAAUUAGUCAAUAAC
Molecule: long non-coding RNA, 374 nt
Filed under: Mytilus galloprovincialis (Mediterranean mussel)
Lineage: Eukaryota; Metazoa; Mollusca; Bivalvia; Mytilida; Mytilidae
Source: RNAcentral